Molecule: RNA transcript, 4200 nt
Organism: Poecilia latipinna (sailfin molly)
Lineage: Eukaryota; Metazoa; Chordata; Actinopteri; Cyprinodontiformes; Poeciliidae
Gene: mtnr1al
Gene name: melatonin receptor type 1A like
Exons: 3
Source: RefSeq, a predicted model, not a curated record
GUAAACGUGCUGGGCUCAGACUGAGGCGCUCAGAGAGAGGAAGCUGGAGGAGUCUAAAUGAUGUUGAAAGUCUCCAGACUGAUGGAGCGCACAUGUGAGGCUGAAUGAAAUGGAGAUCAUGAACAGGAGAGCAGAUAGGUGACCGAAAGCAGGAGAAAGAGACGGGUCAGCUGAGCCGCUGUGUUCCAGUUUAGAUGGAAGGUGUUUGGCAGACUGACUGGGGAGAUGUUUGCCGCCACAGAAUCUGUUUUCCUGAGCCUUAGAGAUCGAGACUGCCGUUGAUCCUCCGUGGGUGUCCAGUGGGAUAAACCCAAGACAAAAGUAAUGUCUUCUGAAAUAUCCUGUCCUACCUUUGGAGGCUCGGGCGCGUAAAAAACUGAACCGCAGCUGAGCGCGCAGCCAUGCGCACCCUUUCCGGCUGUGCCUAGUCUGACCUUCGUGCGUUAUGCUGAAUGGACCCACUUUCCGCCGCUACGACCCGAUGCGACUGGUCGAUCCAAGGCACCUCCCGCAACUGAUGUCCCUGGAGGACCAUGAGCCCACCAUGGCGGGAGGGACCCUGGAGCCGCGCAAUUCCACGGCAGCGGCGGGCGAGGAGGGUGCCCCGGGUCAGCAGCAGCACUCCUUCCCGUGGGUGGCCACCGUGCUGGCCGGCGUCCUCAUCACGACCAUCGUGGUGGAUGUUAUCGGGAACCUGCUGGUGAUCGUGUCGGUGUUCAGGAACAGAAAACUCAGGAAAGCAGGAAAUGCCUUUGUGGUUAGCCUGGCCUUUGCUGACUUGGUGGUGGCCAUCUAUCCGUACCCACUGGUCCUGACAGCCAUCUUCCAUAAUGGCUGGAUUGCAGGUUACAUCCACUGUCAGAUCAGCGGCUUCCUCAUGGGCCUCAGUGUCAUCGGCUCCAUCUUCAACAUAACCGGCAUCGCAAUCAAUCGAUACUGCUACAUCUGCCACAACCUCAAGUACGACAAAGUUUUCUCCAGCAGCAACACUAUGUGCUACGUUAUGCUUGUCUGGACGCUCACAAUCCUAGCCAUCGUGCCCAAUUGGUUUGUGGAGUCGCUGCAGUACGACCCGCGGGUGUACUCCUGCACCUUCGCGCAGUCGGUUAGUUCGCUCUACACCAUCACAGUGGUGGUGGUGCACUUCAUUCUGCCCAUGAGCAUCGUCACCUAUUGCUACCUGCGCAUCUGGAUUCUGGUGAUCCAGGUCAGACGGAGGGUAAAGCCGGACUCACGGCCCAAAAUCAAACCGCACGACCUUCGCAACUUUCUCACCAUGUUCGUGGUGUUCGUGCUAUUCGCCGUGUGCUGGGCGCCGCUGAACCUGAUUGGCCUGGUGGUGGCGCUGGACUCCAGGCUGAGCCGAGCCAUCCCAGAGUGGCUGUUCACAGCCAGCUACUUCAUGGCGUACUUCAACAGCUGCCUCAACGCCGUCAUCUACGGCGUCCUGAACCACAACUUCAGGAAGGAGUACAAGAGGAUCGUCCUGAUUAUCUUCAAGUUUCACUGCUGAGAUAAAAUGCCCAGAGCUAGAAGUGUUUUUUUAACAUCCAAGAAACGAUUAUUAAAAAGCCAUGAGCAAAAGAAAUAAAAGACUACAAGAAAAGGGGACAAAUACAAACAACACUGUGAAAGGAAGAAGCAGGAACAUGUAGUAUAAGAGCAAAACAGCUCUAGGUGAAGAGGAGGACAAAGAAGAGAUUUUCAGCCAUUCUGUAGAUGUUCUGCUGUUUGAGACCACUGCCAUGUUGAUGACUUCAGCUGUCGAACAGAUGGCCUCAAAUCUGAGACUAGAAUACUUUGUUUUACAGAGAAGUUUCUGGUUGAAACAAUGAUCACAAGGAGUCCAGGUUGUGCUUGGAUUUCUCCAACAUAUUGUGAUAAAUUGUGGCUAAAAUCUCUUCUUGCAUUUCAUCUGUCCAAAGGAUAUUCUGUCAGACUUUUGGUGGUUCAUUAAGAUGGAACUUUCCACAUAUAAGGUGUGCUGCUACAUUGUCUAGAGUGAACAAUCUUUUAACUUGUCUAAACAAGCCAUAUUUGCUCAGUAUUUUUUCUAAUUGAUUUAUAAUGAACUAUAACAUUCAAAGUGCUAACUGAGCGCUGCACUGGAGGUGCUUAAAGGAGUGUUUUCAUUAUCCGUUUCUGGGCAUUUCUGUCUUUCUUAAUUCAUUUGAAACCAACAAAUGUGGUCUUUAUGUUUCCCAAGACUAAAUGGAAGCUAUAGAUAUCCUUUCAUUGAAGCCACAAAAGUAGUGGAAACUAAACAAGUCAUUUCCCUAACCACUACUGAAAAAAAAGACCAUAAAACUAUCUCAGUGAAAUCAGUGAGGUGAAAAAAAUAGGCUCUUUAAAACUCCAGAAUGACCUCAUUAGGCAUUUAAAUCAGGCAUCACAACAUCAAAUUCACCCUUUCCAAAGGCUGCAAAUCUUUGAAAACACUGUAGGCAUUUCACAAAAUGAUAGGAAUUCUCUUAUUCCAAGGUGAUCCAUCAGCUUAACCGUAAAUCUUUGUUUUUUGGUUGAUUUCUUCCACCUUUCCAAAGAAACUGGAUAACCUUGCUUGGGAGGAUUGCCAACACCCUGCUGUGGACCCUCACUCUAAAAUAAUCUGUCCAAGUUACCAUGCUUCAUUACUAACAUAAAAAAUCUUUAUUCUGCCAUGUUUCUGCUCACCAUGAUCACCGUUUCCAAUCACUAUCAGUUCUAACAAUUGUCUUUCUUCGGCCUGUUGUUGCCUUCACUUGCUCUGUGUUAGUCUAAUUGUGUUACAUUUUGAGCUUGUAUUGUAUUGAUAUCUGUGGGUAAAAGUUUUCAAUUAAAAUAAAAAAGACCAAAAUCUCAUCGGUCAAGAAAUUCCCCCCAAAUAUAGAAAAUCCAACAUUGCACCACAUGUAGAAGAGGAUAAUGUUUUUGUUUUUUUUUAAACUGUAUUUAUUAUUAUUUUUCACAUUAUAACCACAAUCUUAAAUGGAUUUUAUUAGAAUUUCAUAGGGUAAACCAACUAAAAGUUGUUUUUGUGUUGGUUUGUCACAGUGUAUUAUGUUCCUUCUACUUUACAAUAAUGUGCUACUUUAAGUUGGUGUAUCUUAUAAAUUACAAUAAAAUACAGUGGAGUUUGUGGUUCUAAUGUCACUAGAAGUGAAGGGGUUUAAAUGAGAAUGAUUUAGAUUUAAGAUUAGAUUUGUAAAGCACUGCAGUCUAAAGCACAGGUGCCUACUGUCAGUUAUCAAAGGGCACCGUCCUACAUGUUUCAUUUGUUUAUUUGAGGACUUUUUGCUGUGCAGCACUUGACAGCCUGCUGAUUGAAUCCUCUCUACUGAACCAGGAAAACAUUUAAAACAUGUAAGACACUGGCCAUCGAAAAGAGAAAGACAGGAAACCACUGGGCUAAUGAUUCUUUACUUACAGUCCAUUAUAGACCAUUUUGUUCUCUUUGGCGUAUGAUGAUCUGCAGUAACUGACCACAAAACUUCAGUUUCGAAUUUACAUCAAAAAAUUGUAUCCCGUCUAGAAAUUAAAAGGCUUGUCCCAAUUGUUCUGUUUUCUGCUUAAGAUAAGUGGGUAUAAUUUGCUCUAACUGGACUGUAUAACAUAAACAUAAUAGAAUAAACUCAACCAUAACAAUAAUGUGAAUCAUUAUAGCUUUAAAGUAAGUGCUCAUCAAAGUGUAAAGUACUUUGAUAAUGACCUUUCCUUGAGUUGAUAUAUCCUGGAGCAGAUACAUGAACGGUAAUCUAACAUUCUCACAUUCUGCAGAAAGUAAAUGAGGCAUCUGCAUUGGCUUUUCGGAGGAGUCCAAUGAGAGUAGUUGCAAAUUUAAUUGGUCCACUGAGGAUGCAAAUAUAUACAAUCAGCCUUUUACCUGUAGUUAUGUGCAUUAACUAAUGAGGUAUUUUUCUUGUUAGUGCUGAAGAACAAUGCAAUGAGCCAAGCUUUGUUGACGUUUUGUGUAUUUGGAACAGCAGCAGCAAAAAAAAAAAGAAAAUUUAAUGCUGUGUCCGUAUGUGUGGUCCAAGGCCAGCCAGCUGCAAUAGGAGCUAUCAGUAUUCAGUCUAAGAAUGUAACCGUUUUCCUUUCAUACGCUGUUUUUGCACAUCGCCAUGAAGAAUGUUUCCUCUGAAUGUCUGUAAUGUUGAUGAGACAAAAGAAACCCACUGAAUCCUGGAAAACAUGUCUUAAUAAAUGAACGUUCACUGUGAA